UAGGGAAUCUUCGGCAAUGGGGGGAACCCUGACCGAGCAACGCCGCGUGAGUGAAGAAGGUUUUCGGAUCGUAAAGCUCUGUUGUUAAGGAAGAACGAGUGUGAGAAUGGAAAGUUCAUACUGUGACGGUACUUAACCAGAAAGGGACGGCUAACUACGUGCCAGCAGCCGCGGUAAUACGUAGGUCCCGAGCGUUGUCCGGAUUUAUUGGGCGUAAAGCGAGCGCAGGCGGUUAGAUAAGUCUGAAGUUAAAGGCAGUGGCUCAACCAUUGUAGGCUUUGGAAACUGUUUAACUUGAGUGCAGGAGGGGAGAGUGGAAUUCCAUGUGUAGCGGUGAAAUGCGUAGAUAUAUGGAGGAACACCGGUGGAGAAAGCGGCUCUCUGGUCUGUAACUGACGAUGAGGCUCGAAAGCGUGGGGAGCGAACAGG
Molecule: ribosomal RNA, 429 nt
Filed under: Bacteroidota bacterium
Lineage: Bacteria; Pseudomonadati; Bacteroidota
Description: Bacteroidetes bacterium partial 16S ribosomal RNA
Rfam family: Bacterial small subunit ribosomal RNA
Source: RNAcentral